Molecule: non-coding RNA, 156 nt
Filed under: Clostridium ihumii
Lineage: Bacteria; Bacillati; Bacillota; Clostridia; Eubacteriales; Clostridiaceae
Source: RNAcentral
CUUGGUUUUGAAAAAUUAAAAAGGAAGUUGAAUGAGAUUUUCACACAGGACCGCUACUGUAAUUAGGGAAUACUAAUUUAAUUAAUCCACUGAAGUGAAUUUGGGAAGGAAAAUUAGUAUAAUGAUCUAUAAGUCAGGAGACUUGCCAAGAUUCUA